GAUGAACGCUGACAGAAUGCUUAACACAUGCAAGUCAACUUGAAUUUGGGUUUUUAACUUAGGUUUGGGUGGCGGACGGGUGAGUAACGCGUAAAGAACUUGCCUCACAGCCAGGGACAACAUUUGGAAACGAAUGCUAAUACCUAAUAUUAUGAUAAUAGGGCAUCCUAUAAUUAUGAAAGCUAUAAGCGCUGUGAGAGAGCUUUGCGUCCCAUUAGCUAGUUGGAGAGGUAACGGCUCACCAAGGCGAUGAUGGGUAGCCGGCCUGAGAGGGUGAUCGGCCACAAGGGGACUGAGACACGGCCCUUACUCCUACGGGAGGCAGCAGUGGGGAAUAUUGGACAAUGGACCGAGAGUCUGAUCCAGCAAUUCUGUGUGCACGAUGAAGUUUUUCGGAAUGUAAAGUGCUUUCAGUUGGGAAGAAACAAAUGACGGUACCAACAGAAGAAGUGACGGCUAAAUACGUG
RNAcentral lists this ribosomal RNA (467 nucleotides) under uncultured bacterium. RNAcentral's name for it is "partial 16S ribosomal RNA". It matches the Rfam family "Bacterial small subunit ribosomal RNA", at positions 28 to 507 of the family's 1533-position model. The record is from RNAcentral.